UACGUAGGGGGCUAGCGUUGUCCGGAAUCAUUGGGCGUAAAGAGCGUGUAGGCGGCCCGGUAAGUCCGCUGUAAAAGUCAAAGGCUCAACCUUUGAAUGUCAGUGGAUACUGCCGGGCUAGAGUCCGGAAGAGGCGAGUGGAAUUCCCGGUGUAGCGGUGAAAUGCGUAGAGAUCGGGAGGAACAUCAGUGGCGAAGGCGGCCAUCUGGGACAACACUGACGCUGAAGCACGAAAGCGUGGGGAGCAAACAGG
Molecule: ribosomal RNA, 253 nt
Filed under: uncultured bacterium
Lineage: Bacteria
Description: partial 16S ribosomal RNA
Rfam family: Bacterial small subunit ribosomal RNA
Source: RNAcentral